Molecule: ribosomal RNA, 590 nt
Filed under: Candida albicans
Lineage: Eukaryota; Fungi; Ascomycota; Pichiomycetes; Serinales; Debaryomycetaceae
Description: LSU rRNA
Rfam family: Eukaryotic large subunit ribosomal RNA
Source: RNAcentral
GCGGAGGAAAAGAAACCACCAGGGAUUGCCUCAGUAGCGGCGAGUGAAGCGGCAAAAGCUCAAAUUUGAAAUCUGGCGUCUUUGGCGUCCGAGUUGUAAUUUGAAGAAGGUAUCUUUGGGCCCGGCUCUUGUCUAUGUUCCUUGGAACAGGACGUCACAGAGGGUGAGAAUCCCGUGCGAUGAGAUGACCCGGGUCUGUGUAAAGUUCCUUCGACGAGUCGAGUUGUUUGGGAAUGCAGCUCUAAGUGGGUGGUAAAUUCCAUCUAAAGCUAAAUAUUGGCGAGAGACCGAUAGCGAACAAGUACAGUGAUGGAAAGAUGAAAAGAACUUUGAAAAGAGAGUGAAAAAGUACGUGAAAUUGUUGAAAGGGAAGGGCUUGAGAUCAGACUUGGUAUUUUGCAUGUUGCUCUCUCGGGGGCGGCCGCUGCGGUUUACCGGGCCAGCAUCGGUUUGGAGCGGCAGGAUAAUGGCGGAGGAAUGUGGCACGGCUUCUGCUGUGUGUUAUAGCCUCUGACGAUACUGCCAGCCUAGACCGAGGACUGCGGUUUUUACCUAGGAUGUUGGCAUAAUGAUCUUAAGUCGCCCGUCUU